UUAAUAUAUAUUCUCAUAAUAAUAAUAAAAAUAACUUAUUUUAUUUAAAUAAUCAAAUAAUUAUUCCAGCAAUGCAUAAAUUUAAAACCAGUAGAAAAACCAACGAUCCUUAAAAAUUAAAAUCCAUGAUAAAAACUUAAUAAGCAUAAAUAAAACAACUAAGUAAGCACUUAGUUGUUAGCACGAGCAGUGGAUAGAUGAGGGAUCAAUAUGUGGAUC
This 219-nucleotide long non-coding RNA is filed under the name Capsella rubella. Its description in RNAcentral is "long non-coding RNA (CRUB_LNC002956)". Lineage: Eukaryota; Viridiplantae; Streptophyta; Magnoliopsida; Brassicales; Brassicaceae. The record is from RNAcentral.